This 428-nucleotide ribosomal RNA is filed under the name uncultured bacterium. RNAcentral's name for it is "partial 16S ribosomal RNA". It matches the Rfam family "Bacterial small subunit ribosomal RNA", at positions 354 to 796 of the family's 1533-position model. The record is from RNAcentral.
GUCGAUAAUCUUCCGCAAUGCGCGAAAGCGUGACGGAGCGACACCGCGUGAUGGAUGAAGUCCUUCGGGGCGUAAACAUCUUUUAUAAAGGAGGAAAUUUUUGACGUUACUUUAUGAAUAAGGGGCUCCCAAUCUCGUGCCAGCAGGAGCGGUAAUACGAGAGCCUCAAGCGUUAUCCGGAAUCAUUGGGCGUAAAGGGUGCGUAGGUGGUUUGAUUAGUCUCCCGUUAAAACUUCGAGUUUAACUCGAAAAGAGGGGGGGAAACGGUCAAACUAGAGUAUGUGGGAGGUGUGUGGAGCUCAUGGUGUAGGGGUGAAAUCCGUAGAUAUCAUGGUGAACACCCAAAGCGAAGGCAGCACACUGGCACAUCACUGACACUGAGGCACGAAACCUAAGGUAGCGAAUGGGAUUAGAAACCCUUGUAGUCC